RNAcentral lists this ribosomal RNA (322 nucleotides) under Sandonidae sp. RNAcentral describes it as "SSU rRNA". The stretch from base 112 to 322 matches the Rfam family "Eukaryotic small subunit ribosomal RNA", at positions 744 to 955 of the family's 1831-position model. Lineage: Eukaryota; Cercozoa; Glissomonadida; Sandonidae. The record is from RNAcentral. RNAcentral also lists the same sequence under 2 other names.
GAUUUCUGGCUUGAAACAUUUUGCCGGCCGCGGUUUCGCGUGUUAGUGCUUGAUGUUCUGGCCAUCCUUCCAAUCGCUGUGUACCUUUCUUCAUUGAUUGGUGCAUGGUAUUGGAUCUUUUACUUUGAAAAAAUUAGAGUGUUUCAAGCAGGCUUUAUGCUAUGAAUACAUUAGCAUGGAAUAAUAAUUUAGGACUUCGGUUCUAUUUUGUUGGUUUCUAGGACUGAAGUAAUGAUUGAUAGGGAUAGUUGGGGGUGCUAGUAUUCAGCGGCCAGAGGUGAAAUUCUCGGAUUCGCUGAAGACUAACUUAUGCGAAAGCAUU